Molecule: long non-coding RNA, 352 nt
Filed under: Mytilus galloprovincialis (Mediterranean mussel)
Lineage: Eukaryota; Metazoa; Mollusca; Bivalvia; Mytilida; Mytilidae
Source: RNAcentral
GCAUAACAAUACGCACAUUAAAAUUCAGUUCAAGAGAAGUCCGAGUCUGAUGUCAGAAGAUGUAACCAAAGAAAAUAAACAAAAUGACAAUAAUACAUAAAUAACAACAGACUACUAGCAGUUAACUGACAUGCCAGCUCCAGACUUCAAUUAAACUGACUGAAAGAUUAUGAUUUCAUCAUAUGAACAUCAGGCACAAUCCUUCCCGUUAGGGGUUUAGUAUCAUACCAUCAUAACAUAUAUGAGAAGAACAUAACCCGUGUCAUGCCAACAACUGGUUUUUGAAUAAAUGUGUUUAGUUCCGAUGCAAAGACCCUAUAAGUGAAUCAAUAUUAACAGAUUAAUGCCAAAA